GUGAGGAAUUUUCCGCAAUGGGCGAAAGCCUGACGGAGCAAUGCCGCGUGAAGGAUGAAGGCCUAUGGGUUGUAAACUUCUUUUCUCAGAAAAGAAUUAUGACGGUAUCUGAGGAAUAAGCAUCGGCUAACUCUGUGCCAGCAGCCGCGGUAAGACAGAGGAUGCAAGCGUUAUCCGGAAUGAUUGGGCGUAAAGCGUCUGUAGGUUGUUUAAAAAGUAUUCUGUCAAAGAUUAGGGCUUAACCCUAGAUAGGCAGAAUAAACUUUUAAGCUAGAGUUUGGUAGAGGCAGAGGGAAUUCCCGGUGGAGCGGUGAAAUGCGUAGAUAUCGGGAGGAACACCAAAGGCGAAGGCACUCUGCUGGGCCAAUACUAACACUGAGGUGCGAAAGCAUGGGGAGCAAACAGGAUUAGAUACCCGUGUAGUCC
This 426-nucleotide ribosomal RNA is filed under the name uncultured bacterium. RNAcentral describes it as "partial 16S ribosomal RNA". It matches the Rfam family "Bacterial small subunit ribosomal RNA", at positions 354 to 796 of the family's 1533-position model. The record is from RNAcentral.